GCCCAUUAGAUAGCUCAGUUGGUUAGAGUAUGGGGCUGAUAAUGCCAAGGUUGCUGGUUUGAUUCCUGUAUGGACCA
Molecule: transfer RNA, 77 nt
Filed under: Podarcis lilfordi (Lilford's wall lizard)
Lineage: Eukaryota; Metazoa; Chordata; Lepidosauria; Squamata; Lacertidae
Description: tRNA.Ile
Rfam family: tRNA (bases 11-69)
About the family: Transfer RNA (tRNA) molecules are approximately 80 nucleotides in length. Their secondary structure includes four short double-helical elements and three loops (D, anti-codon, and T loops).
Source: RNAcentral